GGGAAUCUUCCGCAAUGGGCGAAAGCCUGAUGGAGCAACGCCGCGUGAGUGAAGAAGGCCUUCGGGUUGUAAAGCUCUGUCCUUGGGGAAGAACCGUAGUGAUAGCAAAUGCUCACUACCUGACGGUACCCAUGGAGGGAGCACUGGCUAACUACGUGCCAGCAGCCGCGGUAAUACGUAGAGUGCAAGCGUUGUCCGGAAUCAUUGGGCGUAAAGGGUACGCAGGCGGAUAUGCAAGUCAAAUGUGAAAACUACCGGCUUAACUGGUAGACUGCGUUUGAAACUGUAUAUCUUGAGUGCAGCAGAGGAGAGCGGAAUUUCUAGUGUAGUGGUGGAAUACGUAGAUAUUAGAAAGAACACCAGUGGCGAAGGCGGCUCUCUGGGCUGACACUGACGCUGAGGUACGAAAGCUGGGGGAGCGAAUGGGAUUAGAUACCCCUGUAGUC
RNAcentral lists this ribosomal RNA (446 nucleotides) under uncultured Bacillota bacterium. RNAcentral describes it as "bacterial SSU rRNA". It matches the Rfam family "Bacterial small subunit ribosomal RNA", at positions 357 to 795 of the family's 1533-position model. The record is from RNAcentral. Lineage: Bacteria; Bacillati; Bacillota.